Molecule: long non-coding RNA, 2725 nt
Organism: Alligator mississippiensis (American alligator)
Lineage: Eukaryota; Metazoa; Chordata; Crocodylia; Alligatoridae
Exons: 2
Source: RefSeq, a predicted model, not a curated record
CCCAAAAAAGCAAAAAACCCCUUUCCCCCCACAAAUGUGAGAGUUGUUUUACUUUGAUAGUGGUAAUUCAUUGGAGGUGGUAGGUUGAUUUAAAAAUGACUAGCUUGUGAAAUGGUUUCUGAGCCUCACAGAUCAAAGAUGCUAUGGCAGGAGCAGUAGAACAACAACCAGUUGGCUUGGAAAGAUUGUAAUGGUAAAUAUUCACAGUUAAGACAAACAUUUCUUUUUUUAUGAGAAAAGGGAACAGUUACGAAAUCUGGAGUAUCAUGCAAAAAUAUUUGGAACUUCACUAGGUUUCACAAACUUAAAAUAAUUUCAGAAAUGGAAAAUUCUGAUCAACAGUGGGAUAAAAUACCAAGCAAAUUUAAAAGAAAUCUUAUUGUUUGAAGGUCUCCUCCCGAGUUAGCUAUUUAGUUUGGUAUAGUGUUUUGAUUAAUGAGUCACCAGUUAAAAAGAUACUAAUAUAUAGAAUGUGUCUCCACAGAUCAUUUAUUUCAAAGAGACUCUAAAAACAGUGAACUUCUUUUAGAUGCAGAGUUUCUGAGAUAUAUUCAAAAAGAAAAAACUGGCCAGUUGUAAAAUGCUCCUACUAGUGAAGCCAAGAAAUAUGAAUAAAAAAGGAAUGUGAGGAGAACUUGUUCACUUAAAGUUCUGCUGCUUGAUUUGAGAGCCAUCAGGUGCAUUGCCAAGGAUGGACUGGAGAAGGUUUUGGCAGCACUGUCCCACAUCCCUGGGAUACUGGGGAGAAACCAGAUAGGAAGCCUAACCUUGGCUAUAGCACAAGAUUGAAAAGGAGAUAACCAAAGGCCACGUUCUCCUCUCACUUCUAGGACUUCAUUAGAGCAUAUUUCUGUCUUAUGCUGGGUACCAGUGGCAGCUAUCUAUUCUAUUUUCUGGUAAGUAGGGAUAAUGCUUACCUGAUUAACAAGGGUUUUCUGAGGGCUCAUUACCUGAUGUUUGAAAACUGCUUGGAGGUCUUCAGAUGGAAGAAAACAUUUGAGUAUUAAGUAUCAUUUUUCCAGACCUCAAAGUAGGUCAUGUACUUGAAGCCACAUUAACGAUCAUGUAGAGUGAAGUGGUUCCACAGAAAUAAAAGCUAAACAGCCAAGCAUGAAAGUAAAAGCAAGGAAGAAUGUUAGUCUAAACUUGUAACAAGUCCUUCUUAGUAGAAGUCGUCAAUUAUUAAAAAUGGUACGUUUUAAACUAACCCCCAAAAUCUACAGCAUGUACUUACACAGAAGCUGUCAUAUUUAAUAGGUCCAUGCUUGAACUAUGUAAACUAUAGCAUAAGGCUUUCAAUUACACCCUUGGAUUUGAGCUGUGCGAAUAUUUAAAGCAAAUAUCUCCAUUUCCUUGUGUUCACACUACUUUUAUGCUUUCUUCCCAUAAACAUUUAAAGAAUUGUGUUUUAUUAGCACAUUUGCUAUCAGGAACUGAUAUAUUAACCUUACAUGUGUGUAUUGUCACAUCAGAGAGCUUUCUAAAAGGGCCAAUCAAAGAAUGGCAACAGCACCAUGUGACUUAAGUUACAAAUACAGUUAAUUAGUACAAUGUGAAUUUUGAAUGCCCUCAGCAACUUGUUACCAGUCAAUACACAGGAAAUGUAUGGGAAUACACACACAGAAAACCCCAUGGUGAAUCAACUGAACAGAAAAUAAAUUAGAGAUAAUCACAACCUACUAAUUAGCAUUCUGCAAAAGAAGAAGAAACACAGUGAUGUUUGUCAAGUAAUUUAUUGAAAUUGUGCAAUAUGCUCAGAUCUAGCACUAUUCCAGGACUCAUUUAGCAGUCCAAGUCUAUUUCUAGCAAGCAAGCAUUAGAAAACCAAAAGCUUGCCAUGAAAUUGUCAUUCUCUAUCUUUCAAAAGCUACUUCAGACUUUAAAAAUUGUUUACAUAUGAAAUGACUUUGUUCAAAAGUCCCAAAAUAAAAAGUUAGGUGGGCGAUGGAGGUGCUACGACAUUGUGAAAGGAACUGAUGUGGAAAUACUGUUGUAUUACUGACUCAAGGGAGGGGAAAUAAUAUUAUAUUUGAGUAAUUAUUGGGUCUGAGUACCAAUGCCAAGGUGUCAGUAGCUAAGAAGGAACAAUUGAUUGAGUGGGAGGAUGAAUAGUAAAUGUGUCAGCAUGCAGAAAUGACAUCUGGCACUGCAGCAGAUUUGUCACUACAGGGUAUAGUUUGCAUAUUAAGAUUCAUAGUAAGACAUGUAGCAAACUACCUGUAACUUGAAUCUCAAACUUAAUUUCUUAAACUUAAUUUGUUGUGACCAUAUAAAUCAACUUUCAGCAGGAUGGCUAUGACUGAACAUGAAUAAUAAAUGGUGUAUAUCUCUAAUGAAAAUUUCCAAAUAGAGUUUAGGAGAAGAGCUAGAAUAGAAAACUAUUUUCAAAUGUAAAUCAUAAAGUUAGGGAGUUUUGUUUGAAAACAUUGGCUAAUGUUGUGAUUAUGCCAUACAGAAAUUAACCAACCUAGCUCAAAGAGAGUUAUUCACAUAGUUAGUUACGCUAGUGGAGGGAUUAGGUUCAUAGGGAUGAGGUUCAUUAUGUACGGAAUUGUCCUCAAAGCAACGUCUUGGUGUGUGAAGUUACCAUUCAGAGCUAUGUUUAUCAUCUGUCAUUACUUUCCAUAACUCACAUAAAUGCUUAUCAAUUGAAUCAGAACCAUUUUUUUUGGAAAUGAGCUGAAUAUAUUAAAUAAAAGCUGUUGAGCAUGUUUGGUUUUUUUAA